GACGAACGCUGGCGGCGUGCUUAACACAUGCAAGUCGAACGGAAAGGCCCUGCUUUUGUGGGGUGCUCGAGUGGCGAACGGGUGAGUAACACGUGAGUAACCUGCCCUUGACUUUGGGAUAACCUCAGGAAACUGGGGCUAAUACCGGAUAGGAGCUCCUGCUGCAUGGUGGGGGUUGGAAAGUUUCGGCGGUUGGGGAUGGACUCGCGGCUUAUCAGCUUGUUGGUGGGGUAGUGGCUUACCAAGGCUUUGACGGGUAGCCGGCCUGAGAGGGUGACCGGCCACAUUGGGACUGAGAUACGGCCCAGACUCCUACGGGAGGCAGCGGUGGGGAAUAUUGCACAAUGGGCGGAAGCCUGAUGCAGCAACGCCGCGUGCGGGAUGACGGCCUUCGGGUUGUAAACCGCUUUCGCCUGUGACGAAGCGUGAGUGACGGUAAUGGGUAAAGAAGCACCGGCUAACUACGUG
RNAcentral lists this ribosomal RNA (468 nucleotides) under uncultured bacterium. RNAcentral's name for it is "partial 16S ribosomal RNA". It matches the Rfam family "Bacterial small subunit ribosomal RNA", at positions 28 to 507 of the family's 1533-position model. The record is from RNAcentral.